ACACACCCGGGCGGGUAGAGCGAGCUUUGACCUGUGGGAGGACCCCUGCCCCACGGGGCGGGGGGGGAAGAACCCUCGUCUCCUGUGUCUCUCUGGGGAGAAGAGCCCUGCCCUGCGGGAUCCCCUGGGAAGGGCUGUUCCCCAUGCGAUCCCCACAACUUGGGGGAGGAUGGAGCAUGCCAAGUCCUGCUAGGGGAAGAAGAGCCCUGGCUUACUUAGGGUCCCCCAACUCUUUAGAGGAAAUCUCUUAAUUCCCCCUAAAGGAGUGAGGUGGCACCAGCUCUCCAUCUUCCUGGUAAGGCUUCUCACAAGAGACCCCAACACCCCCCUCUUCCCUUUAACUGUUGCAGUCUCUUUGGGCAGAUAUUAGCAAGAGAGGCUCCCUGGCCCCUUGGAGAUGGAGUCCAUCUGCACUACAAACACAAGUGUACUUGGGGACCCUGCAGAGUUAAUUAAUCCAACAGAGUUAAUUCCUUAUUGUAAUGAGGGGACUAUGGAUAUAUCUUCAAACAACGCUGAAGGCUCCAGCUGGAACGUGAUCCGAGGUCACAGUUAAGGUCUCAUCCAUUCUUCAAUGUGGGGGUUAAACCAUGCUUUAACAGAGGUUCAUGGAGUAACAUUAGCCUUGUGCAGAUGUUUCCUGACUUUUGCAUCCAUGAUGUAUUAGCCAUCUGAUCUGUCAUUAACAAGGCUGGAAAACUUGCUACCACUGACCUGUCAGAGAGAAAAAUCCAAGCCAUAGAAUGUUUUAAUCAACAAAACUGAAAAAAAGAUGAAGCAGCAGUUGCACUUUUUUGCUUUUUCCUAAUAGCUUUCUUUAAAAACGAUCAUUGCUUAGCCCAUAAUAUUGCUUUUGCUACUGUUCAGAUCACCUGUAUUUACAGUAGAACCUCAGAGUUAUGAGCACAGCAGGAAUGGAGUUUGUUCGUAACUCUGAAAUGUUUGUACCUCUGAACAAAAUGUUACAGUUGUUCUUUCGAAAGUUUACAACUGAACAUUGACUUAAUACAGCUUUGAAACUGUACUAUGCGGACGAAGAAUGCCGCUUUCCCUUUUUUUAGUAGUUUACGUUUAACACAGUACUGUACUAUAUUUGCCUUUUUUUUUUUUUU
Molecule: long non-coding RNA, 1112 nt
Organism: Chelonia mydas (Green sea turtle)
Lineage: Eukaryota; Metazoa; Chordata; Testudines; Cheloniidae
Exons: 3
Source: RefSeq, a predicted model, not a curated record